RNAcentral lists this ribosomal RNA (301 nucleotides) under uncultured bacterium. RNAcentral's name for it is "partial 16S ribosomal RNA". It matches the Rfam family "Bacterial small subunit ribosomal RNA", at positions 509 to 807 of the family's 1533-position model. The record is from RNAcentral.
CAGUAGCCACGGUAAUACGUAGGGUGCAAGCGUUAAUCGGAAUUACUGGGCGUAAAGCGUGCGCAGGCGGUUCGUUAAGACAGAUGUGAAAUCCCCGGGCUCAACCUGGGAACUGCAUUUGUGACUGGCAAGCUAGAGUGUGGCAGAGGGGGGUGGAAUUCCGCGUGUAGCAGUGAAAUGCGUAGAUAUGCGGAGGAACACCGAUGGCGAAGGCAGCCCCCUGGGCCAACACUGACGCUCAUGCACGAAAGCGUGGGGAGCAAACAGGAUUAGAUACCCCUGUAGUCCCUGUCUCUUAUAC